GAUGAACGCUGACAGAGUGCUUAACACAUGCAAGUCGAUGGGGAAGUGGUGCUUGCCCCAUGGCAACCAUGGCGGACGGGUGAGUAACGCGUAAGGGACUUACCUGCAGGACUGGGAUAACAGGGGGAAACUCCUGACAAGACCGGAUAAUGUCAUGGAGCUGCAUGGCUUUAUGAUGAAAGGAGACGCCUGCGGAGAGCCUUGCGUCCUAUUAGCUAGUUGGUGAGGUAAUGGCUCACCAAGGCGAAGAUAGGUAGCCGGCCUGAGAGGGUGGACGGCCACAAGGGGACUGAGAUACGGCCCUUACUCCUACGGGAGGCAGCAGUGGGGAAUAUUGGACAAUGGGGGCAACCCUGAUCCAGCAAUUCUGUGUGCACGAAGAAGGUUUUCGGAUUGUAAAGUGCUUUCAGCAGGGAAGAAGUAAGUGACGGUACCUGCAGAAGAAGCGACGGCUAAAUACGUG
RNAcentral lists this ribosomal RNA (463 nucleotides) under uncultured bacterium. RNAcentral describes it as "partial 16S ribosomal RNA". It matches the Rfam family "Bacterial small subunit ribosomal RNA", at positions 28 to 507 of the family's 1533-position model. The record is from RNAcentral.